UGGGGAAUAUUGGACAAUGGGCGCAAGCCUGAUCCAGCCAUGCCGCGUGAGUGAUGAAGGCCUUAGGGUUGUAAAGCUCUUUCAGUAGGGACGAUAAUGACGGUACCUACAGAAGAAGCCCCGGCUAACUUCGUGCCAGCAGCCGCGGUAAUACGAAGGGGGCUAGCGUUGUUCGGAUUUACUGGGCGUAAAGCGCACGUAGGCGGAUCGUUAAGUCGGGGGUGAAAUCCUGGAGCUCAACUCCAGAACUGCCUUCGAUACUGGCGAUCUUGAGUCCGGAAGAGGUGAGUGGAACUCCUAGUGUAGAGGUGGAAUUCGUAGAUAUUAGGAAGAACACCAGUGGCGAAGGCGACUUUCUGGCUCGUUUCUGACGCUCAUGCACGAAAGCGUGGGGAGCAAACA
This 402-nucleotide ribosomal RNA is filed under the name uncultured bacterium. Its description in RNAcentral is "bacterial SSU rRNA". It matches the Rfam family "Bacterial small subunit ribosomal RNA", at positions 355 to 774 of the family's 1533-position model. The record is from RNAcentral.